UACGUAGGGUGCGAGCGUUAAUCGGAAUUACUGGGCGUAAAGCGUGCGCAGGCGGCAUGAUAAGCCAGAUGUGAAAUCCCCGGGCUUAACCUGGGAACUGCAUUUGGAACUGUCAAGCUAGAGUGUAGCAGAGGGGGGUAGAAUUCCACGUGUAGCAGUGAAAUGCGUAGAGAUGUGGAGGAAUACCGAUGGCGAAGGCAGCCCCCUGGGUUAACACUGACGCUCAUGCACGAAAGCGUGGGGAGCAAACAGG
RNAcentral lists this ribosomal RNA (253 nucleotides) under uncultured bacterium. Its description in RNAcentral is "partial 16S ribosomal RNA". It matches the Rfam family "Bacterial small subunit ribosomal RNA", at positions 524 to 776 of the family's 1533-position model. The record is from RNAcentral.